GACGAACGCUGGCGGCGUGCCUAAUACAUGCAAGUCGGACGCAGUUGCGACCGGGUGAGUAACGCGUAGGAACCUGCCUAUUAGAGGGGGAUAACUAUUGGAAACGAUAGCUAAUACCGCUUACUAGGAGAUGGACCUUCGUUGUAUUAGCUAGUAGGUAGGGUAGUGGCAUACCUAGGCAACGAUGCAUAGCCGACCUGAGAGGAUGAUCAGCAACACUGGAACUGAGACACGGCCCAGACUCCUACGGGAGGCAGCAGUGGGGAAUAUUGGACAAUGGGCGAAAGCCUGAUGCAGCCAUGCCGCGUGUGUGAAGAAGGUCUUCGGAUUGUAAAGCACUGUAAGUUGGGAAGCGGUACCAACAGAAUAAGCACCGGCUAACUUCGUGCCAGCAGCCGCGGUAAUAC
This 407-nucleotide ribosomal RNA is filed under the name uncultured bacterium. RNAcentral describes it as "partial 16S ribosomal RNA". It matches the Rfam family "Bacterial small subunit ribosomal RNA", at positions 28 to 526 of the family's 1533-position model. The record is from RNAcentral.